AACGAACGCUGGCGGCAGGCCUAACACAUGCAAGUCGAACGAGAAGCCACCUUCGGGUGGUGGACAGUGGCAGACGGGUGAGUAACGCGUGGGAACGUGCCUUUCGGUUCGGGAUAACCCAGGGAAACUUGGGCUAAUACCGGAUACACCCUCCGGGGGAAAAAUUCAUUGCCGAAAGAUCGGCCCGCGUCAGAUUAGCUAGUUGGUGGGGUAAAAGCCUACCAAGGCUACGAUCCGUAGCUGGUCUGAGAGGAUGACCAGCCACACUGGGACUGAGACACGGCCCAGACUCCUACGGGAGGCAGCAGUGGGGAAUAUUGGACAAUGGGCGAAAGCCUGCUCCAGCCAUGCCGCGUGGGUGAAGAAGGCCUUAGGGUUGUAAACCCCUUUCAGCGGGGAAGAUAAUGACGGUACCCACAGAAGAAGUCCCGGCUAACUCCGUGCCAGCCGCCGCGGUAA
RNAcentral lists this ribosomal RNA (459 nucleotides) under uncultured bacterium. RNAcentral's name for it is "partial 16S ribosomal RNA". It matches the Rfam family "Bacterial small subunit ribosomal RNA", at positions 29 to 523 of the family's 1533-position model. The record is from RNAcentral.